GGGUCGUUAGCUCAGUUGGUAGAGCAGUUGAAUUUUAAUCAAUUGGUCGCAGGUUCGAAUCCUGCACGACCCCCCA
Molecule: transfer RNA, 76 nt
Filed under: Salmonella enterica subsp. enterica serovar Rubislaw
Lineage: Bacteria; Pseudomonadati; Pseudomonadota; Gammaproteobacteria; Enterobacterales; Enterobacteriaceae
Description: tRNA-Lys
Rfam family: tRNA
About the family: Transfer RNA (tRNA) molecules are approximately 80 nucleotides in length. Their secondary structure includes four short double-helical elements and three loops (D, anti-codon, and T loops).
Source: RNAcentral